AACGAACGCUGGCGGCAGGCUUAACACAUGCAAGUCGAACGGGUGUAGCAAUACACCAGUAGCAGACGGGUGAGUAACACGUGGGAACCUUCCUAGGGGUACGGAACAACUCAGGGAAACUUGAGCUAAUACCGUAUACGUCCGUGAGGCUAAAGAUUUAUCGCCCUUAGACGGGCCCGCGUCGGAUUAGCUAGUUGGUGUGGUAACGGCCUACAAAGGCGACGAUCCGUAGCUGAUCUCAGAGGAUGAUCAGCCACACUGGGACUGAGACACGGCCCAGACUCCGACGGGAGGCAGCAGGGGGGAAUCUUGGACAAUGGGCGCAAGCCUGAUCCAGCCAUGCCGCGUGAGUGAAGAAGGUCUUCGGAUUGUAAAGCUCUUUUGCCAGGGACGAUAAUGACGGUACCUGGAGAAUAAGCCCCGGCAAACUUCGUGCCAGCAGCCGCCGUAA
This 451-nucleotide ribosomal RNA is filed under the name uncultured bacterium. Its description in RNAcentral is "partial 16S ribosomal RNA". It matches the Rfam family "Bacterial small subunit ribosomal RNA", at positions 29 to 523 of the family's 1533-position model. The record is from RNAcentral.